AGAAAUCAUUACAAAAUUAACUAAUUAUUUAUAUUUAUAUUAAAAAGGUACUUGAAAUUUGAAAAGGCAUAUAGGCCUUUAGCAAACAUAAAAACAAUCACAUAUGUGUUGGGUUAUGCAGUCGCUUUUGUUGGGGAUUACCGUCUGAUUUUGCGCUGCAUGACAUUUAGUUAUGCAUGUAUAUUUACGGCAAUCGAGUAAUAUUAUAUGAAGAAAUUCUUUACAUCUUUUCGGUACGCCUUUGUUGGGGUCUGCCGUGCUUGCUAAACCUGCAAAACAAUGAUAUUCGAUCAAAAUAACUGCUGCUGCAUAUUUUCAAUGGGAUCAAAAUAACUGCUUGUGCGUAUUUUUAAAACAAGCAAGCAAAUAAAUAUCUAAUUGCGUUUCAACAUUUUAAAUGGCCAAAAUAGAAUAUCUAUAACAAAAGGUUGCUAUGAUACUAUAUGACCGGCUGCAAUGGAUUAGAACCCUAUAUAUAUAUACACACACGAGUGAAUAGCGUGACAUUCAUAUUAGAUUAUUGGAUAGGGACGGCCAAUCAAUUCUAACUAUAAAAAUAGAUAAAUUUUCAUCAAAAUAAAAGUAAAAUAAAGAUCUUUCCUUCAAAGCACUGCAGAUAAAUAGAAAGUUCUUUUUUUUACAAAAACUGUUAAAAAAAUUCUAUUUGUGUUUGCGAAAACAACGUCCUCUUUUUCUUUAUACCAGUACCGGAUUCAAUCACUAAAUUAGAACGAAAUCACUAACUGAUGGGUUUAUAUUUUUUACAUUGUAGUUAAUGGAUAUUUUUAGAUCAUGAUUCUAUUUAGACUGAUUUCAUAUCAUAAGAAUUCUCAAACUCCUUUCUAAUCCACUUUUAGAGUUCUCUCUCAACAACAAACCCUUAUUCAUAAUAAAUUUUUUCUAUUUUAUUGUAUAGUGUAUACCUCCUAUGCACACAACACAAAACAAAAACGGUUAUUCUAUUUUCAUCAUCGAAUAAUUAUUCGAUCCAUUUUAUUCUUUGGAUCAUGUUUCAAUCAAAAAUUUAUAUAUAUAUGAUGUUUUGUGCUACUUUUAUUAUUGAAUGCACAGUCACAGAGAUAGAGCAGAUAUAUACCUGGAGACUGAUCAUGAUGGUUGAUGUGGUCAAUCGAGAUAUCUUUGUUAGAUUUAACACUAAGAAAGAACAUGGUGAGAAGAAAACAAGCAAAAAUCCUCUUCAUAUUUUUUUUGUUUUCUGAGUUGAAUUUUAAGUGUGGGGUAAUAAGAACUACGUUUCAGGACUUGUAUAUAUAAGCAGUACAAUUAGAGAGAUCAAAUUUACCUUUAUAUAUCUCCUCUUGUGGAUAUCAAAUUUCAAGUUAUGAUUCUUUGUAAUACCCAUUAAUUUGGCAGAACUGUGUGGUAUACGUGGUACGACAAGA
RNAcentral lists this long non-coding RNA (1403 nucleotides) under Panax ginseng (ginseng). RNAcentral's name for it is "long non-coding RNA (PGIN_LNC017632)". The record is from RNAcentral. Lineage: Eukaryota; Viridiplantae; Streptophyta; Magnoliopsida; Apiales; Araliaceae.